Molecule: ribosomal RNA, 520 nt
Filed under: uncultured Glomus
Lineage: Eukaryota; Fungi; Glomeromycota; Glomeromycetes; Glomerales; Glomeraceae
Description: SSU rRNA
Rfam family: Eukaryotic small subunit ribosomal RNA
Source: RNAcentral
AGCAGCCGCGGUAAUUCCAGCUCCAAUAGCGUAUAUUAAAGUUGUUGCAGUUAAAAAGCUCGUAGUUGAAUUUCGGGAUCAAUACGUCCGUCGUACCUCGGUACGUACUAACGUUAUUGAUUUCUCCCUUCUGACGAACCGUGAUGUCAUUAAUUUGGUGUUACGGGGAGUUAGGACUGUUACUUUGAAAAAUUAGAGUGUUUAAAGCAAGCAAUCGCUCGAAUACAUUAGCAUGGAAUAAUGAAAUAGGACGUUCGAACCUAUUUUGUUGGUUUUUAGGAUCGACGUAAUGAUUAAUAGGGAUAGUUGGGGGCAUUAGUAUUCAAUUGUCAGAGGUGAAAUUCUUGGAUUUAUUGAAGACUAACUACUGCGAAAGCAUUUGCCAAGGAUGUUUUUCAUUAAUCAAGAACGAAAGUUAGGGGAUCGAAGACGAUCAGAUACCGUCGUAGUCUUAACCAUAAACUAUGCCGACUAGGGAUCGGAUGAUGUUAAUUUUUAAUGACUCAUUCGGCGCCUUACG